RNAcentral lists this long non-coding RNA (1058 nucleotides) under Sorghum bicolor (sorghum). RNAcentral describes it as "long non-coding RNA (SBIC_LNC011218)". Lineage: Eukaryota; Viridiplantae; Streptophyta; Magnoliopsida; Poales; Poaceae. The record is from RNAcentral.
CCCUGCCACUGCCAGCCAGCCAUCGAUCCUCCCACGGAUUUGUUUGCUUCUCCUCCCUCCAUGGCUCCAGAUCGAGUCUGUCUCGCCGAGGCCACCUCCCGGAGGGGCGAGCAGUUAAUCUGUCCCCGCCUGGACUGCGACCACGUGCUACUAAGAGCAAGCUGUAAGCUGGCUAAAUGCUGAUGUGGAGGAGAGAAGGGAGGAGAGAGAGGAGAAGCAGGCUGUAAGCUUACAGUCAGCUUAAACACAAAAACUAAGAAACUUUGUGAGAGAGAUAAGUGGACCAUAUAUUAAUAGUGAAUAGCUAACUAUUGUAUGGGUGGGCUUCAAGAAGGCUGUAAGGAACCUUACAGCCAGCAAGUGGACUGUAUUAUUAAACUUAAACUUGCUCUAAGGGCAUGUACAACGCGUCGAUUUGAGCUGUCUGUGUGUUGUGUUUUUUGCAAAAUAAUCCCUGGCGAGCUAGAGACAGGGAUUGGUCGUCGUCUCGCGAGAGGACGACGUCGGCUCGUGCUCCAAGGCCGAGUCGACGCUGCGCCGACUGCUGUACCAGCUGCUGCGAGCUAUCGCCGGCAUCGCCUGAUCUAGUGCUCCGUGUGCUAAACCCGUUGUCCCAGGCGCAGAAGGGAAGACAUGCAUGCGGCAAAUCCCCCUCGUCGGCGGCGUCCGCCCCGGCCCCGGCGACGCAGAGCACAAGCACCAACAACCGAGCCUGAGCCUGAUGUCCAUGCCAACCGCGGUACUCUCGCCCGCGACACCGCUGCGCACACCAUCCAUGGAGGGGACGUGCUGCUCUGUGCGGCUGCCUGUAGUUUAGGUGCUCGAUGAAAUGCCAAGUCGUUCUAAAAUGCUAGUUCAAUUGUUUAUGCUAUUUCUAUAUUAACUAGUCAUGAUCAAUGAAAGUACUACAUUCCUGUCCUGUGUUAUUUUUUUAUUACUGAAAACUGAAUGGCAUUUGACUGAACGAGCUGGUACUGAAAACUGAAUGUUGUUUGGUAAUUUCUACAUGUCUGAAGAAGCUAUUACUCGAAUGCUAUUGCUUAUUAUCUACACCUGAA